RNAcentral lists this ribosomal RNA (244 nucleotides) under Escherichia coli. RNAcentral describes it as "partial 16S ribosomal RNA". It matches the Rfam family "Bacterial small subunit ribosomal RNA", at positions 74 to 323 of the family's 1533-position model. The record is from RNAcentral. Lineage: Bacteria; Pseudomonadati; Pseudomonadota; Gammaproteobacteria; Enterobacterales; Enterobacteriaceae.
UUGCUGCUUUGCUGACGAGUGGCGGACGGGUGAGUAAUGUCUGGGAAACUGCCCGAUGGAGGGGGAUAACUACUGGAAACGGUAGCUAAUACCGCAUAACGUCGCAAGACCAAAGAGGGGGGACCUUCGGGCCUCUUGCCAUCGGAUGUGCCCAGAUGGGAUUAGCUAGUAGGUGGGGUAACGGCUCACCUAGGCGACGAUCCCUAGCUGGUCUGAGAGGAUGACCAGCCACACUGGAACUGAG